AUUGAACGCUGGCGGCAGGCCUAACACAUGCAAGUCGAACGAGUGGCGGACGGGUGAGUAAUGUCUGGGAAACUGCCUGAUGGAGGGGGAUAACUACUGGAAACGGUAGCUAAUACCGCAUACCAUCGGCUCUUCCCAGAUGGGUUUAGCUAGUCGGUGGGGUAAAGGCUCACCUAGGCAACGAUCCCUAGCUGGUCUGUGAGGGUGACCGGCCACACUGGAACUGAGACACGGUCCAGACUCCUACGGGAGGCAGCAGUGGGGAAUAUUCGACAAUGGGCGCAAGCCGGAUGCAGAAAUGCCGCGUGAAUGAAGAAGGCCUUCGGGUUGUAAAGUACUUUCAGCGGGGAGGCGUUACCCGCAGAGGAAGCACCGGCUAACUCCGUGCCAGCAGCCGCGGUAAUAC
This 406-nucleotide ribosomal RNA is filed under the name uncultured bacterium. RNAcentral's name for it is "partial 16S ribosomal RNA". It matches the Rfam family "Bacterial small subunit ribosomal RNA", at positions 30 to 526 of the family's 1533-position model. The record is from RNAcentral.